This is a long non-coding RNA of Passer domesticus (house sparrow), 4695 nucleotides long. RefSeq lists it as uncharacterized. Lineage: Eukaryota; Metazoa; Chordata; Aves; Passeriformes; Passeridae. The record is from RefSeq and is a predicted model, not a curated record. The transcript is spliced from 3 exons.
GGACAGGUGCUGGCUGUGUCACACGUCCCUGAGGUGCGAGCAGCAGGUCCCGCUCCACGGGAGAAACCCGUGUGAGUCCGUCUGCACAGCAUCUUAACCCUGCACCCUCACCACAUCAGCCCUCUGAGGGACGGGAUCCAGCCUCCAGGCUAGAAACUGGGCUAAAAUAGAGAUGGGUUCUGUCCUUCAUAGACAAACCAUGCCAUUGCUGUGGUAGAACUCACGGGAGUGGAAGGAAAGGUGACCCCAGUUGGGUUCAAGGCAUUCUGCAGGCAGCAAGGGAAUAAGAAAGAUCCAUUUCACAUGAUGAAAAGGGCAUCUUUGAAAAGAAACUCCUGGAAAUGGGUGGCUUGAGGACACGGAAGGCAAUAAAUAAGGAAGACCCAGCUAAGGGGGUAGAACACUCCUGAUGUCCAUGCACGGGUGAUGCGGGAAGUACAAACUUCAACAGAACAUGCUGAAAAGUCUGCACGUUUCCUGGGUGUGAUGCAUGUUAAACUCACAUUACUCAUGUUAAACAGGAGCACAGAGGUUUAUUUCAGCAGAAUAACAGCUCUUGUAAACAUAAACAAUAAUGAAGGAGAAAAGCAAAUUCACCUGGGAGACAACAGAAGUAGAAAAACAAAGAGCUUAUGCUAGAGCCAGGCCUAAGCCCAAAACCUGUUCAGCCUCCAUCCCCAAAAACACUGAUACACAGCUGACCUCUGUAAAAUCCUGCUCAGGUACUUUUCAAGCCCUUGUGCUAUUGAACAUAACAAUUUACAAGCCUUCUGGAAACACGAUAUGGAAGGACAACAACACUGUAAAAGCUGAGUGUAAACUAUACCAACACACACACAAGCUGGAUGCAAGUACUUAGUCUCUUCAGCUCUCCUUUAUAUUUAUUUAAAGCCAGAAUUUUAUAUUAUGUUAAUAUAUUUGUAUAAUAUAUAAUAUAGUAUAUAUUAUGUUAAUUAAUAUAAUAUAAUCAUAUUAUAUUAUGAUUAGCUAGAACUCAGCAAUCCAUGACCUCUUACCAGUGUGAUGGACCAAGGCAAUGGGAAACAACAGAUUAACAACUUAAAGUUAAAAAACCCAUAAAGUUACAAAUAGAUGCUCUUUCUAUUGCCCGUGGCUUCAUUCUGCAGCAACAUUAAUGUGUCCCCAGGGAAUAAAUAGGGCCAUAUAAUGGCAAUUAUUGUCAUGGGCUCAUUGCAGACAUGACCUCACCCUCAGGACUUGGAAUCUGCCCCUGACUGGGCUGUAGCUCCAGAGGAAUUUUAAUGAUGGGGUGUGAGGGUCAGGCUGUGACACCUCUUUUGCAUAAUAGAAACCCAUCUGGUGGGGUUGCCUGGGGCUGAUUGCUAUCUGAGCUCCCUCAGGGUCUCCGAGGAAUGAGUUGGGUCAACAGGUAGCUGAACACUCAGACCCAGUGCUUUAGUUACUGUAAGUGCCCUGACAGAAAUAUUAAAAAUAUUCUAUGGUGCAGCCUCAAAUUUGAACACUUGAAAAUCAUCUGGUUUGGAGUAACACUUGUUUUCCUCAUAGAUCUAGAACAGCCUUUUCCUAUUGUACCCCAAAUAACAGACAAGUCUGUCUUGUGCUCUCAGCUUUUACCCAUCUGUAGUUCUGUGUUACCUGCUAGGGACACUCACUUUACCCAGAAUCUCAGAAAGGCAUUCAGCAGCACCCAGGAACCUGGAGAAAAGUGUGACCUAGCAGUGACCUGUUAACCUACAGACUGCUCACACCUUCAGCUGCUGGGAGCUACCAGGCUUGGUGGGAAGACAUCUGCUGUAGUGCACAAGCAUUCUCAGCUAACAGACAUCUCUCCCAAUUACUCUGCAGAAAGCUAAUUCCAGCUCCCACUUGGCACCAAAUCCAAGUAUCCCAGGACCCCUUUUAAAUGGUGAAUGAAGCCUUCGUUUUGUCAGCCUCUGCCAUGCCAGUCCAUUAACCUCAGUGAAUUACCUUGGAGUCCCCAUCCAUCAAAGUGUCUGUCUACCUGAUGAAAUGAAGAGUUAUUUCUUGGGUCUGUCGCUAUGUGCCAGCUCAACAGCUAAAGCAUUUAUUCAAUAUGAUUAAUCUAUUAUAUCCUAACUGUGGUAUCUGCCCUGUCAAUCUAAAGACAUGGCCAGAAAAAUUCCCAGGAACAUCAGAGACAACAGCAAUGAGACUGACAAAUCCCAUGUGUAUAUGGCAUGCUAGGGGCAUCCAGGAAAGCAUAAAUUCCCUCCACUUCCCACACUGGUGUUGGAACACUGCUUCAUUUGAGAAAAAUGAACUUUGAUAGGAAGCAGAAAGGGCAGGAACAACUCAAGGGGCAGCAAGAAGCAUUUCACAAAUAGCUCCCAGUGCCUAAGAGAACUGAAAAGACCUCUGGUAAGAAAGGUGCUUUCAGGGUGAAGAUAAGAUCUCAUGAUGAGCAUCAGUACCCAGAAGUACCAUGCCUCUCACCUGUUGAAAUGUCUGGGAUCUCCCAGAUCUGUACCAUCACUUUGGUGUUUAGGCUUGCUCCACCAGAAUUCCACCCCACAGCCUGCAGGAUCCCCAGUUGUGACAACACUGACCAAAUGAAGUCAGUCACGGCUGACUGGUACCUGCCAUUGCACCUAAUCUCCAUCCAGCACUGCAGAACAUGGCCAGCUACUGCCUUUAUUGCUUUUAUUCUUUCACUGUAAUCUAGUCCUUGAACCUGGUCCCUCUGAGUUGAAAGAGGCUGAAAUGCUGCAAUAUCUGAAAUACUGCUAGCAAGGAGCCAGCUGUGGACCAAGCACCACAGCACUGGUGACAGAAGAAAGCACUUAGCACAGAGCAUAUAUACCAGGGUGAUUUACACAGAAGGAUAGGUAGGUUCUCACUAUUCAUUCCUGAAUAUUUGCUGGGCUUGCUUCAAUUACAAGGCUUAGUGGCAUGAACUUCAGAUGUAUGAUGCUAAGUAUUUUUCUAAGGUCAUGGGCGGUAAUUGAAAGACGACUUUGAUACUCACAUUAAAAACUACUCCUAAUAGGGAGCAGCUCUGAAAUCAGCCCAGCAUGAUGUCUUUCAGUCUUGGUAAUAAUGAAUACACAAGCAACUCAUAACAGUCUACUUGGUGGAAACAAAACAUAAUUUGGCUGGUCAUUUGCUUUUGUUCGUCUUUUGUUGGGGAAAAGGGAGGGGAGACAAGUCCUGUGGCAAUGGCAUUGAACGGCCCAUCUCCGUUUUGAAUCUGCUGAGAUUAAAUAUAUCCUUUCAACAACAAAGGCUGAACUCUGAUCAAAGCCCCACCAGCAGCACGCCCUACAUUGGGACACACCAGAUCCUAAUUCCUGCAAGUGCCCAAGGGAAUGUGAGUCUGCCAUCAGUCAAGUAAGACAAGGACAAGAGAGAGCACUGUAAUUUUCAGUUCAGCCCAACAAACCCUGCAGCCUCUUGGCUUGCAGUAACCUGGAAUGCAUCCUGCAAACAAUUAGCAAAAUGGCUUUUCCAAGCCCAUCAACACCACAUGGCUUUUCUUUGAUAUUGUUUUGUUCUUCUUACCCUCCCUCCCAAGAGCUUUUUCAGGAACCCCACACACAUGCUGCUGGGAGUACAAUUAUAGGACAGUGUGUUCAAGUAAAAUUCAUUCAGCAUGUUUCUGGGAUCCCUUGUUUUUAUGCAAGGGCCUCUGUACCUCUUCUGCCUGCACCCAGUGUAAGUGCAGUUGUAUGAGAUGCUUGGACAAGCAAUUGCCCAUCAUGUGCAAAUAAAGGCUUGUUUUGUCAAGCAAAUAUAUAUGUGCAAAAAUGUACAGUCCUGUGUUGUAAUUGUCUAAAAUACCAUUGUGGCACGACAGUGAGUUACAACACGCACAGGGAUAGCUUGUCUCUAAGUAAUUAUUUGUGUUCUGCACAGGCCCUCCCAGAGGCUCCUCUCCAGCUGUACUGCAGUCAUUUAUGUAGGACAAACACUGACGUUAAUAGACUGAAUAAAAAAAAGUAUUUUCUGUACUUACAUCUCAGCUUGCAGAACUUCUAUUAUGGCUCAGUUAUAGCUUUUUGCAGGAUGGAUAGGGGAUCUGCACCAGCCACCCCCAGGCAGGCAGAGUUUAGCAGUGGGCAAGUGUGUAAUUGCCAUUCUCACCUUGCCUGCUUGUCCUUUGCUCCUGCUCCUGUACUCAGCAGGAGCAAACUUCUCCCAGACUUCUGUGUUACCCAAAGGACCACGCUACUGUUAGCAGCCUACCAAGAGUUUCUGUGUUUGCUGAGAAAUUAUCCCCCAAGUAAGGGCAAGUUACUCACAGGUAACGUGUCCGACAAUGGCAGGUUUGUCUAUUCUGUCCUCUGUCAAUCAGGAGAGAGGGAUCCUGCUGCCAAGCUCUUCUGUUUAUGGUCACUGCAUGGGAAAGGCAGGUGCAAACAAGGGAUAGCCCCCAGAAUCACCAACAUCCAGCAGCUCCUACUUCCCUACUGCUGGUGGUGAGGGUACAAGGAGCAACAGCACAGUACAAAGACUAUGGGCUGGUGAGGUGGGUUGGCCACUUACUGCCCCAGAAAGAAAUGUAGCUUCAAAUCUAGGCUGAGCUAUCAAUGGUCUAUGUGUUGUUGGUAAAGUUUCAUUUCCUCUCUUUCUCUCCUCCAAGACAGAAUCAGGGCUCAAGGAGUAUGUGCAAGUUACCAUAAGUAUGUGGUAUUGGGAAAUUGAUAACUAUUAAUCUAAGUAUUUCUGAGUCAAAAUUCUCUGUCACACUUUUAA